RNAcentral lists this transfer RNA (89 nucleotides) under Xenograpsus testudinatus. RNAcentral's name for it is "tRNA-Ser". Lineage: Eukaryota; Metazoa; Arthropoda; Malacostraca; Decapoda; Xenograpsidae. The record is from RNAcentral.
AAUUUUAAAGAUAAUUUAAAUCUAUCUAUCCUAAAAAAUAAAUAUAUUUAUUUUUUAGGAUAGAUAGAUUUAAAUUAUCUUUAAAAUUA